Carassius gibelio (silver crucian carp) is the source of this 4716-nucleotide long non-coding RNA. RefSeq lists it as uncharacterized. Lineage: Eukaryota; Metazoa; Chordata; Actinopteri; Cypriniformes; Cyprinidae. The transcript is spliced from 3 exons. The record is from RefSeq and is a predicted model, not a curated record.
UAUUUAUAAACAUUAUGUUAACAUGAACAAUAUUUAUAUAGCAUUCAUUCAUGUCAGUUAAUAUUCCAAACUUAAACAUGAAAACAUUGUUUUAUUGUGACUUUUUUCCAAGUACAUUUUACCAAUUCCAAACCAUAUCAAUCUUAAUAACUACCAUUAUUUUUUAUUUAAUCAUUUAUGAGUGCUAUACAAUAGUCCAGGAAAGCUGGAAGAGAAAAACUCCUUGGGCCCUAUCUUGCACCCAGCGCAAUUGACUUUGUACACCGACGCAUGUGUCAUUCCUAUUUUGCACCUGCGCAAAGCGCGCUUUUCCCUCCACAGAAGAACGUCGCUAAACUAGUGAAUGAACUUGCGCUCCCUGGGCGGUUCAGCGCAAAAAAGGAGGCUUGUUCCGGCGCAAACAAUCCCUGGUGCUAUUUUGCUGUUCCAUUAAACAAUUGCGCCACUGACCAGAAAAAACCUAGUCUAAAGUCAAACGCGUUGUUCAUUAUGCUGUUUUAAGGGCGCAUGCUUGACCAUAAUGUAUAGCGUGCACAACGCGCAUACACUUUGCUCAUGUAAUCUACACAGAUGCAACAGUUAUUUUUGCAAAUCAUAAAUUGUUACACUAAAAAAAUAUUAACACAUGAGAUGACGGAAAUCAUGACGCUAUUUUGGGUGGGUUUCUCCCAUCCUCAUACAACACAACUUCUCUGUCUUUCACUGCUCUUACAAGAACAUCAGUCUCCUCGGCUGUGAACCGCUCCUGGCGUGCGCCUGGUAAAUACGCCAUAAUAGCAAUCCAUAAUGGAACUUGCGCACCUGCUUUUAAAGGGAAUGUUGGAUGACGCUCUGAUUGGUUUAUUUCACGUUACGCCCAAACCACACCUAUGAAUAAUGAAGCUACUUCAGACCAACCCAUUUUAGAUUUGCGCCGGGCGCAAGAGCCAUUUAUCCCGCCGGGAAAAUAGCAACAGCGCCGAGACCCGCCCACAAAGUUACUUGCGCUUCGCGCUUUGACACUUGCGUUUCAGAUCGUUUAAAUAGGGCCCUUAUAUUCAUGUGUGCAGAAUUAUUAGGCAUGUUUUCUUUUACAGAUGAAAUGCGCUAAAAUAGAGUUUUAACUCAAACUGUAAGGUCGAAAAUUAUGAAAUACCCAUGAGAAAUAUCAAACACAAAUGCAAUACAGAAAUUGAUAAGUUAAGACUUGACCAUUGUACAAAAAAUGCUGACUGGGUCAUGAGGUCAGAAAAGAAGAAGAAAAAAGCAGGUCAAGAAGAACUGACAACACACACACACACACACACACAUUACCCACAGUGACAGUGGGACUGAGUGACAUCAGAUGUAUGAUAGUUUUUUAAUUUUCUAUCAUCCAUAUAGUGUUGUAUAGUCAUGAAACUAUGCAUAUUUCCUCAGAAUGACUUGUCUUCUAUGUGUACAUUUUUUUUUAAGUGUUUAGAAGCUGCACUUUAAAAAAAUAAAAAGACAUUUACUGGUUCCUUUUUUACCAUUAUUUCAAAAAAUCACCACGACAAAACCAUUCAAGCUAUCCAAAAUUCAUUCACACCUGUUGUGUAAGAUUAAUUCUUUAAACAGUGGUAAAAGAGGAUGUGGUGCUGAACCUUCAAGAGUCACUCAAAACGUAUCUGUCCAUAAAGCCUAUAAAGAAUUAUUCUUAAUAUACAGUUCACAAUACUUCAGCUUGUUAUUCUAAUUAAGUGAGGGUCACUUUAUCAGUAAAAUACAUACAAUUCAUAUUAUUUUUUUGAAAGAUUUCUAUAAAUGAUUUAAAUUAUACUCGUUUCUACAAUAAUUAUUUAAAAGUAAUCCUAUAGCUCCCUCUGGUGGCCAUUAUUGGUACUAAGAAUUGCAAGCUUGAUUUAUAAGUUAUGAUAGUUUUAAUUUUAUGCUGGCUCUUGAAAAUGAUAAAGCUUUGAAACUUACUGUGCUUCCUUCAAAUGAUGACUUCUACUUAUAUAAAAAAUUAUGAAGAGUUAGAAUGAAACAUUUUAAAGAUAUAGUAAAAUAACUAUUGUAUUUUUUAUGUUACUUUAAUAAAUCUCUAUGGCAACACCAUUUAAGCUAUCCUAAACCCAUUCACAAUUUCAGUAUAUUGGCAUCAUGUUGAAAAAGGAGUAUGGAGUAGUAUGAGGAGGAGUAUGAAUUCAUUUACAGGCUGAUUUUUUCAUAAAUCCACAAUAAAAUUUCUGAUUUCUGUAUCAAUCUGUGUUGUUGUUUGUUUAUUUUUAUCUUUUAUUUUUCAUAGGAAGAUAACUGACCCUUUACUCUCCUUUUUAAUAAAUGUGCUUAUAAACCAAGGACAAGCUAUUUAUAGCUGUAUUUAUAAACUGCUUACUACUGACUAUUAAUAUUGGGACAAGGCUUUAUAAAGCAUGAACUGACUAUUUACUAAUGAGUGCAGUUAUUAUAAAAUGUUAUCAAUGCAUUUGCUAAUGUUAACAAAUUAGACAUUAUUUUACAGUUAUCAAAUCCUUAAAUGACUCAUAAGCAUUUGUGAAAGUUCUGCUUGCAUUACAGCUUAGUAUUGAUCUGUGAGCUGAACAGAUUUACUGUUACAUCCAUGAGAUUUUGUAAAUUCAAAUAAAUAUAAUGUUACAGGAUGUCAUAGGUCAGUAUCAAAUGAGUUUGAAAUUAUUAUUUGCAGCACAAAUAAGGUUUUUUUUAGGAUUUUUAAAAAUCCCUAAAACUGUCAGAAAAAGGAUAAGGCCUAAGCUAUUUAUAUGUGAGUGGCUAAAUUUAUUUUUGUUUUUAUAAUUGUAAUACACAAACUAUGAAAUUAUACAAAAUGUAUAAAAAGGUAAAUAAAUAAAUACGCACACAUUAAAAAAGCAGCCAAGUCGAAUGAGUUUCCUUUUUUAUAUAGAUUAAAAUUGAAGACAGAAGCAAGUGGUAAAUGUGGUCACUUUAAUAUUCAAAUCCAGUAGAUCCAGUUUAUGUUCACGUGGCUGUUUUCGUUUAUAUUCGCCAAGCUAUUAUGUAUUUUGAAAUAAUCUUGUCCGUGAUGUGUUCGUUCGUACGACGAAAGACAGAAUCCUGCAGCUCGAGAGAUAUAUGUUAUUCUGCCAGUCGCGCUUUCAAAUAGUCUUGCACACUUAAACGGGUCACAAACACCUGCAUUUAGCUCUUGUAGUGUUACAAUGGGUUUAUUGUGUGCAUUUGUGGUAAUAUUUUAUUUAAAAAAGCUCUUAAACAAGAAUAAAUUCGUUUGUUUUGAGCUCGACACUGUACGCGCUGAUCGGAGGCGGUGAUUUCAGAUAGGCAGCCACAAAUAUUUCAUUUUCACACAAACAGUUCAAAAACAUCUGAAUUUAGCUCUUGGUGUGUUCUAAUUGGUUGAUUGUGUGAUAUCGCUGUAAUAAUUUAUUUUUAAAAGCUUUAAAACAGGAAUAAAUUCGUUUUCUCUGAGCUCUUUACUCCAGACGCUCGUGAUCACAGCGGUGAUUCAUCUCUCCUAUUUCUCACGUAUCUCUGGCCAGAAAUAAUUUAUCCAUGAGCCCUGAACCGGUAAUAAUCAGAUAUGUUGGUUUAGCUUGUCAGUGUGAAUUAAAUCUAAGUAUUUAUUUGUAUUUUUAACCGAUUUAAAAGUGAAAGUAAAAGUCCGGGAAUUGAACCUGUAGGGGCGCUAUUUCUCUCAGACAAUGGAAGUCUAAGCACAUAUACUCAAACUGAGGGACAGAGUGAGAUGAGAUGUUUGACAGUUUUUUAAUUUUCUGUUAUCCAUACAGUGUUGUAAAGCCGUGAAACUAUGCAUAUUUCCUCAGAAUUACUUAUUUAUCUGUAUGAAAAAAAUCUUUGACGAGUUUGGAAGCUGCAAUUUAAAAAUACAAUAAUGAUUCCCUUUGUAAGGUCAUUUAAAAAAAUCACCACGGCAAAACCAUUCAAGCUAUCCAAAAUCCAUUCACAAUUUAAGUUCCUAUCAGAAAUACUGAUGUGUGUUCAGAGUUUUGUGAAAUUCUAAGUAUGUUAUUUGCCUCAAAAUCACCUGAGAAGUAUUCCAGUUUGACAUGUUGCCACGCCAACAAUUUUUUAGAUAUCAAUAUCCCCCUUGCAGAUUUAUAUCGGCUGUGUUUUAACAUUAUUCUGAUGAAGUUUGAAGCAAAUCGAGUAAUAAUAAGAUGCUGAAUUCAAAUCAUUUUGAAAAUGACACACUUCCUUCUGCCAGUUGGUGGCGCUAUAACUUUGACUCCUAAUAGUCACAUAUAUGCGAUCGACAUCAUACAACGAAUAAUCUGAUGAAGUUUGAUUAAAAUCAGGAAAUGUAUGUGGACGGUAUUAGACACUUCCUGUUUCUCAUUUCUCGCCAUAAUUUCAACGCCUCGCUAUGAGCAAACCGUUCGAGAUAUCAAAAAUCCCCUGGCAAUUUUUCAUCCCCAGUGUCUUGAGAUCAUGUUGACCGAGUUUGGCGGCAAUCGAGAAAAAAACCUAUGACAAGUAUUUCAAAUUCCAGAGCAUGUGCUUUUUACAUAACUCUAAAUAGCUGACUUCCUGAUGGGCGGAGCCUAUGACAUGCAAUACGACAGUUGUUCGGCACGAUGAGAUCUAUAUGUGUACUGAGUUUCAUAUGAAUAUGUGCAAGUAUGUGUGAGCUAUACAUCAACAUUUCUGACUGUGUUCCAGGGGGCGCCGUAGAGCCCCUGUGCCACGCCCGGGUACCAGCCUCUGCAGGCUCCUAAAGGCCACAGAUUCCAAAGUGUGCGCAAAUUUUCAAGAGUU